This 1827-nucleotide unclassified non-coding RNA is filed under the name Chelonus insularis. Its description in RNAcentral is "phosphoribosyl pyrophosphate synthase-associated protein 2, transcript variant X2". Lineage: Eukaryota; Metazoa; Arthropoda; Insecta; Hymenoptera; Braconidae. The record is from RNAcentral.
ACAAACAGGAAAAACAAUUUUGUUAAUAAAAACCACAGUACAAUUAUUUUCAAACCUUAUAUAUUUUAAGUACGUCAAACAAAUGACGCUAAAUUAAUUUGAUUCAAUUUCCAUUAAUUCUUGAUAUAAAGUUAAGAAAAUUCCUAGACGACAACCUUGACUAGGGCAAGAAUAUAUUUCCUAGUUUACUAGUUGGGAUGAUUGAUAAAUCAGCUGUUCGGAAAAGUUCCACAAAUAAAUAAUCUUAUAGCCUCAACAAAAGAAAUAUUUGUUUAUAGAGAUUUGUUUCAAGAUAUCUCUAGUUAUAGUGAUAUUGAAACAUAUUCAAAUCAUAAGUCUUGGAAAAAAAUUUGUGACUCAAGUAUUUCACAUUUAAAUUGAAUGUUUAAUCGAUAAUAAUUGAAUCAAACGUAGUAAGCUUCACGAGGUCCUACGUAAGGAGAGAAGAAGGUCUCUUUAUUAAUGUUAAUUAUUUAUCUAUUAAAAAAUAAUGGAUAAAUCUACAGCUUCAGAUAUUGUUAUUGUAUCUGGAAAUUCACAUCCAGAACUUGCAGAUUUAAUAGCUAAUCGCCUUGGCGUCAAACAUGGAGGUUGUUUUGCGUAUCAUAAAACCAACCGUGAAACAAUGGUGGAAAUUGCUGACUCCGUUCGUGGGAAAGAUAUUUAUAUCAUUCAAACAGGAACUAAAGAUGUUAAUAAUAACAUAAUGGAGCUUUUAAUUAUGGCAUAUGCGUGUAAGACAUCUUCAGCCAAAAAUAUUAUUGGUGUUAUUCCUUAUUUACCUUACUCCAAACAAUGUAAAAUGCGUAAACGCGGUUGUAUUGUAUCAAAACUUUUGGCCAAAAUGAUGUGUACAAGUGGAUUAACUCAUAUUAUCACUAUGGAUCUUCAUCAAAAAGAAAUUCAAGGUUUCUUCGAUUGUCCUGUUGAUAACUUGCGAGCAAGUCCUUUUCUUUUACAGUAUAUUCAAGAGAGUGUUCCAGAUUAUCGAAAUUCAGUAAUUGUUGCGAAAAAUCCUGGAAGUGCUAAAAAAGCCACUAGCUAUGCAGAACGACUGAGAGUAGGAAUAGCUGUGAUCCAUGGAGAACAAAGGGAGAAUGAAUCUGAUAUGAAUGAUGGACGUAAUUCACCUCCAGCCAUGUUGUUAUCUUCAAGAACUAUGGAAGUCGGAGUUGGUGUACCAUCUCAUCCAGCUAAAGAAAAACCACCAAUUAAUGUUGUUGGUGAUGUCAGUGGUCGUAUUGCUAUUAUGGUGGAUGAUAUGGUUGAUGAUGUCCAAUCUUUUGUGGCUGCAGCUGAGGUUUUAAAAGAACAAGGAGCCAAUAAAAUUUAUGUACUGGCUACACAUGGACUUCUUAGUUCUGAUGCUCCAAGACUUAUUGAAGAAUCACCAAUUGAUGAGGUCGUUGUUACUAACACUAUUCCACACGAAUUACAAAAAAGUCAAUGCUCGAAGAUAAAAACAGUGGACAUAAGUAUAUUAUUAGCAGAAGCAAUUCGUCGUAUUCACAACAAAGAAUCAAUGUCUUAUCUUUUUAAAAAUGUUACCACUGAAGAUUAAUUAUUUUACAUAAUUAUUCACUUCUGAAGAUAUAGAAAUGAGAUAAAGCAAAAAAAAAAUCAUUAAGUAAAGGAAUAUAAUGAAGGCAUUUAUUUAAAAAACAAAUAAAGUUCCGUCGUGGGGACCAUAUCAAGAUUAUGUACACUUUGAAAUCUUUCUAUAAUAUUUUUAUAUAUUUUUUCUGAAAAACAUAAUUUACAAAAAAUACAACAAAAAUGAAAAAAUAAUGAGCACGAAACAUAAAAGUUUAUGUUAAAAUUUAAUUA